Molecule: long non-coding RNA, 321 nt
Organism: Stegodyphus dumicola
Lineage: Eukaryota; Metazoa; Arthropoda; Arachnida; Araneae; Eresidae
Source: RefSeq, a predicted model, not a curated record
UAUCCGGGCGAAAAAAAUUUACCAGUUCCUACAAGAUAUUAAAACUGUAUAUCCUGGCUAUGGAAAAAAUGGUUUAGAGUUGAAAUUUAUAAAUGAGCCAACAGUACAAAGUGAGGAUAUUGAAGAUUUAAUGCCACCGAAAAAAGCUGCCCGUCAAGAUGAUGAAAUGCAGUUUAUUGAAGAUGGUGAUGAUAUGUGGGAGUAUGGAAAUUAAAAAUCCUGCAGCCCUUUCAUAAAUAAAUACAGCAGAAUUACAGGUUCGAAAAUGUAAUUUAUUUCCUAAGUAUUUUUGAUGCUGAAGCCAGUCAGUUUUUAAGAAUG